GACGAACGCUGGCGGCGUGCUUAACACAUGCAAGUCGAACGGAAAGGCCCUGCUUGCAGGGUACUCGAGUGGCGAACGGGUGAGUAACACGUGGGUGAUCUGCCCUGCACUUCGGGAUAAGCCUGGGAAACUGGGUCUAAUACCGGAUAGGAGCCAUUUUUAGUGUGAUGGUUGGAAAGUUUUUUCGGUGUAGGAUGAGCUCGCGGCCUAUCAGCUUGUUGGUGGGGUAAUGGCCUACCAAGGCGGCGACGGGUAGCCGGCCUGAGAGGGUGGACGGCCACAUUGGGACUGAGAUACGGCCCAGACUCCUACGGGAGGAAGCAGGGGGGAAUAUUGCACAAUGGGCGCAAGCCUGAUGCAGCGACGCCGCGUGGGGGAUGACGGCCUUCGGGUUGUAAACUCCUUUCGCUAGGGACGAAGCUUUUUGUGACGGUACCUAGAUAAGAAGCACCGGCUAACUACGUG
RNAcentral lists this ribosomal RNA (465 nucleotides) under uncultured bacterium. RNAcentral's name for it is "partial 16S ribosomal RNA". It matches the Rfam family "Bacterial small subunit ribosomal RNA", at positions 28 to 507 of the family's 1533-position model. The record is from RNAcentral.